Molecule: ribosomal RNA, 557 nt
Filed under: uncultured Hyphomicrobiales bacterium
Lineage: Bacteria; Pseudomonadati; Pseudomonadota; Alphaproteobacteria; Hyphomicrobiales
Description: bacterial SSU rRNA
Rfam family: Bacterial small subunit ribosomal RNA
Source: RNAcentral
ACGGGUGAGUAACGCGUGGGAAUCUACCCAGCUCUACGGAAUAACUCAGGGAAACUUGUGCUAAUACCGUAUACGUCCGAUAGGAGAAAGAUUUAUCGGAGUUGGAUGAGCCCGCGUUGGAUUAGCUAGUUGGUGGGGUAAAGGCCUACCAAGGCGACGAUCCAUAGCUGGUCUGAGAGGAUGAUCAGCCACACUGGGACUGAGACACGGCCCAGACUCCUACGGGAGGCAGCAGUGGGGAAUAUUGGACAAUGGGCGCAAGCCUGAUCCAGCCAUGCCGCGUGAGUGAUGACGGUCUUAGGAUUGUAAAGCUCUUUCACCGGUGAAGAUAAUGACGGUAACCGGAGAAGAAGCCCCGGCUAACUUCGUGCCAGUAGCCGCGGUAAUACGAAGGGGGCUAGCGUUGUUCGGAUUUACUGGGCGUAAAGCGCACGUAGGCGGACUUUUAAGUCAGGGGUGAAAUCCCGGGGCUCAACCCCGGAACUGCCUUUGAUACUGGAAGUCUUGAGUAUGGAAGAGGUGAGUGGAAUUCCGAGUGUAGAGGUGAAAUUCGUAGA